This 1997-nucleotide long non-coding RNA is filed under the name Sinocyclocheilus grahami. RNAcentral describes it as "lncRNA (ENSSGRG00000018172.1)". The record is from RNAcentral. Lineage: Eukaryota; Metazoa; Chordata; Actinopteri; Cypriniformes; Cyprinidae.
CAGCAGUAGUCAGACAUUGAACUUUUAUUGUAAUGGAAAAUCAUGGCACAUCUCAUGUUUUCUGCUAACCUUUCUUCUUUUCCAUUUUUCCAGCAGUUGCCUCAAGCACUUACCAACCAGCAGGCAAGUCCUGUUUCUUCAUUCCCAGUGGAUGUACUGGACUCGAACUCCACCCCCACCAUAGUGACCGACAGCAAUGGCAACCAGUUCCUGCUAACACUGUCGAAUCAAAACACAGAGACACGGGCCAGAGGCCGCCGCGCCCAGAACAAAAGACUACAGUCUACACCCACCAUGUUUACCAACCAAUCCGUGACUGAAUUCCUUAACAAAAACAACCAAUCAGAACAGCCCAUACAAACCGUCAUUUUGAAACAGCCAAUCAAAAAGGCACUAAAGCCAGACCUAAAUGUGACGACCAAUUACAAAGCAUCAAGCUGCACAUCCAUCUCAUCACCAGCCAACAUCCAACCGUUCCUCUCUCCAGUGGAUUCCAUGAACGACACUGAACCCGUCCCCUCAUCUCCCAACAACAACAACGCCUAGAGUGAGAGACAGAUGUUCAGAAGUACGCCUACAUCAAGCAAGGAUGAGAGACAUCUGACGCCACCAGAAAAACUUUAUCUUUUGGGAUUUGCAGGAAGAGCUCUGUCAGUGGAAACACAGUGAGGUUUGAUGCCAUGUCUUGAUGUGCUGAUGCUGUGAAAUCAUUCAUGACAGGUUAAAUCAUUCAUUCUCUCAGCACAUAAUUAAAUUGCUUAACUUCAGGAAAGACUAAACAAAACCACACCAUCUCAGAGAUGUCAACUGGCAGAAACAUUUAAUUUUAUUGGCAGCGUGGAGGGUAAGUUUUAAGUAAACAUAAUGGAUGGCACUGUGUUAGCUCAUGAAUAUUAAAUCAUUGCUGACAUAGAGUGUUGCAGGGAUGAUGUAUUUUUCUAGGCCAAAAUCCAUAAUCGUGUUAGCAUUUUUGGUUCCAUUGUCCUGAAGUCAAUGGGUUCCCUGUUGAAAAUGCAGCAUAUGCUGGUUAGGUAUGUUUUGAAGCAUGGCAGCUGGUUUGAGCUAGUUUAAGCUAGUCCUAAGCAACUAGCUCCUGCUCAAGACCAGAUUAAACCAGCUAAAACCCACUGCUAUGCUUCAAAACCUACCUAACCAGCAUAUGCUGCUUUUUUCAACAGGGUUUGAAUGGAUUUUUGGUACCUGAAUACCUGAAAUAAGGUCUGUGGUUAACACAAGCUCGAGAUAUUUUCAUGUUUCAUGUUACUGCAUUAACAUCAGUAAUAGCUCUUUGUGAUUUUAUAAGCUUUUACUUGUCUUGAAAAAGGUGGUGGCUAACAAGUGGUUUAUGGGACUACAGAGGUUGUCAGGGACAUUAAACAUUAAAAUCACACUCUUGCAAACUAUUCGAACUUUAAGGGGAAUUUUUUUAAAAUAAAGUCUGAAAGAGUUGUCGAAGGUUAAUGGUGGUGAAGUCAUGCAACAGUGGUGCAGUUCAUUUAUAGCCUACACUUCGAUUUUUACUACUGCUGAUUGUGUUUAGGCUUCAAAAUUCAUGAUCAUUUGUGAAGAUUAUCAUGAACGUGAAAUGUGUAAGAAUCAUAAACUUUUGUGGGUCACAGAACUUAUUUUCUGCAAUAACCCAAAAGCCAAUGGAAAAAUACUAUUGGGUUUUAAUCGAGAGAACCAGGUUGAUGCCAACUUUUGCGUUGGCCUACAAAAAUAUGUCAUCACUGCAGUGCUUUAUUGAUGUCCCUGAAACAUCCAAUUCGUGUAUGUGUUACAUGUUUUUUUUUCACAGCCACAGUCCACAGCCAACGGAUGGAUGGGCAAAAAGUGCAGGAGGUCACGUCUCCCUCUGUUUUCUAGCACCUCUAAUGUGAAUGAGUUAGUGAAGUUGUCUUUGUUGCUUGAGUUUCUCUCCAAUUAAACUGCUGUGACAGAUGGCUUUGCGGUUACAUCUUUGCUACCAAAUCAUUUCUCAGGCUACUAAAAACAAC